CCUACAAAAAUAGUUGGUUUGUUGUUUUGGUUAUACGACAAAAGAAUAUAUGUAUAUAUAUAUUUGUAUAGUUGUAGAUAUAUAUAUAUAUAGAAAAUAUAUAGAUUGAUUGGAAGAAUUUCAAAGAGAUUUGCCAACGAAAUCAAGAAGAACAUGCAAGAAAGAAUUCUACAACAUGCAUGUAUAGAUAGUAAUGUAAUGUAAUUAACUCUCUCCGCUACGAUGGUGACUGUACUUUGAUUGCUAACGCGCAAUGGAAACGGAACGAAACGAAACGAUACGGAAUGGAAUGAAACAAGCAAUUAAACAACAGAAAAAAAAUUCGUGUAUUUUACUCGAAAUCAAAACGUUGCUUCUUUUUAAUGUAAUCGAAUGCAGUUUGCAACAAAUUGUAAAUGUAAAUGUUGUAAAAAAUUAUUAAAUUAAUUAGAUAAAUGUUAUUAAUUAUGUUACGAUUACUUAGAGCUAAAAAUGAGAAUUGCAAAUUGUUUGAAUUA
Long non-coding RNA from Drosophila sulfurigaster albostrigata, 497 nucleotides. RefSeq lists it as uncharacterized. The record is from RefSeq and is a predicted model, not a curated record. The transcript has 2 exons. Lineage: Eukaryota; Metazoa; Arthropoda; Insecta; Diptera; Drosophilidae.